GACGAACGCUGGCGGCGUGCUUAACACAUGCAAGUCGAACGGAAAGACCCUGCUUUUGUUGGGUUCACGAGUGGCGAACGGGGGAGUAAAACAUGAGUAACCUGCCCUUGUCUGUGUGAUAACUUCAGGAAACUGGGGCUAAUACCGGAUAGGAUCUCCUGCUGCGUGGGGGGGGUUGGAAAGUGUCGGCGGUGGGGGAUGGACUCGCGGCUUAUCAGCUGGUUGGUGGGGUAGGGGCUGACCAAGGCUUUGACGGGUAGCCGGCCUGAGAGGGUGACCGGCCACAAUGGGACUGAGAUACGGCGCAGAAUCCUACCGGAGGCAGCAGUGGGGAAUAUUGCACAAUGGGCGGAAGUCUGAGGCAGCAACGCCGGGUGCGUGAUAACGGCUUUCGGGUUAUAAACCGCUUUCGCCUGUGACGAAGCCGUAGUGACGGUAACGGGUAAAGAAGCACCGGCUAACUACGUG
This 468-nucleotide ribosomal RNA is filed under the name uncultured bacterium. RNAcentral describes it as "partial 16S ribosomal RNA". It matches the Rfam family "Bacterial small subunit ribosomal RNA", at positions 28 to 507 of the family's 1533-position model. The record is from RNAcentral.